AGGAUUACGUCACCUUUUAUAUAACAUCUGGCAGUGACUUUUAUUUCAGAGCUAAUUUGAAGAAGCCAGGCGCUUUUCUUUUCCUUUCCCCAAGACUGCCUUUAUCUGAAAAGAAGAAAGAAAGAACUGUUACAUUUUGCAUGCAAAGAAAGCCAGAGUGUCUAGAUUACUCCCUUAAGGUAAUGGAGAAAAGAAAAAGAAAUUGAAAAAGGUCAGGUGAGCACGGCAGAAGGAAUGAAGAGGUUUGUGUGAUUCUUAGUGAAAUUGGACCAGUCUAAGCAACCAGACAGGUGGCUGGCUUAGGGCAGUCUUGACAGGAGAGCAGGAGGAGCAACUGUUGAAAGAAGAGGGGAGAUAGUGAAAUUAAAGUUGCGGUGAUAAAAUUGGAUUAGGAGAGAGGCCACUGAUGGAUAAGGUCAGAAAGUCAGGUAUAGUUUACCUGGAUGGUUCUGCUGUGGAUCUCUCUAAGAUUUCACUCAAGAUGUUGGUUGGGUCUGCAGUCAUCUGAGGACUUGACUGGGGCUGAAGGAUCUCCUUCCAAGAUAACUCACCCUUGUGCCUGGCAAGCUGAUGCUGACUUGGAUGGAGAAAGAGGAUCGCCUCACCUGUGAAGAUGUGCAUAUAGUAUAAGAAAUUGAAAAAAACAGCUUCAUCUUUAACAACGUGACUAGCUGAUCUGACAUCUGGCUGGCUUGCAUCAAUGGAAAUGCAACGACUUCCUGGUCCAAGAGCAGCCUGCUCUGGGAGCUGAAGUCCUCCUGUGUAUUCCUUGAACUGGAUCCAAAUUCAUUACAGACAGACUGUGAAGCGGACAUAGAUGAUGAAGCUGGUGAAGAGGAGGGGGCAGGAGGGAAGGCAAGCAAGGGACGGAGACAAGCCUUCCCUGGAAUAUUUGCCGAGUGAACGUCCUCUGUGCAGACUCACAUGAUGCUUUGUCAUCUUUGGGAGAAGAGCCAAUAUUAUAAAAAGUUGCUGGGGAAAAAAUGGAUCACGGCAGAGUAACCAGGGCAUUUAACCAGCCUGAGUUUGGAGGUGAUGGUUGCUGGCCUCUGUGGGUUUCCCGGGUCAAAGAAACAGAAUUUAGAACCUGGAAGUGUUGAUCAAGAUAAACACCGCAACUUUGAUCAGUUAAGUAUGAAUAAAUCAGAAAUGUAUGCUUUAAAUUCCCUUCGAAAUACAUAUGUACUUAGAGGUUAAGGGGAGAAAGCGUUUGGCAGAAUACAUCUCAGAAGUUGCCAGCCAUAUAAUGCUUGAAAAAUCGCCAGUUCCACUUUGCCAAACCUAAAAGCAGCCAGGUUUGCUCAUCUCCACAUUAAAGGAACAUUAAGGUCUUUAUCUAUUGACCUAAACCUAAUAAAGAAGGGGAAUUUUAGAGCUGAGACUAAUGUUUUUGUUUUUUUUUUUUAAAUCACCUCCUACUGCCUAAUUAUUGUUGAGAUCUCUGUGCGAUGUUGCAUAUCUAAUCCAUGAUACUCAAUAAUACCCAAGUGUGGAGCUGGCAAAUAAGUCAAGGAUGUUAUAAAGAGGGCAGGGACCAAUUAGCCUCAUUAGGUCGAGCAAGCCUCAGAACAAGUGAUAGCCUCUGACUGCAGUAAGGAAAAAUUAGAUGAAAUGUUAGAAAAGAUGGCAUUACAUAACAGGCAAAGCCACAGCUGCAUCAGGAUAUAAAAUCACUUAAAAUUUU
This is a long non-coding RNA of Leopardus geoffroyi (Geoffroy's cat), 1684 nucleotides long. RefSeq lists it as uncharacterized. The transcript is spliced from 8 exons. The record is from RefSeq and is a predicted model, not a curated record. NCBI's taxonomy places the organism in Eukaryota, Metazoa, Chordata, Mammalia, Carnivora, Felidae.